AAAAAAAAAAAAAAAAAAGAAUCAAAGCUUUAAAAUCCAGCAGAAGUAAAAUUUCCAAGUGGGAGGGAAGAGGAUCAACAGGAGAAUCUGCAAGAGUAAAAGAGGAAGAAGAUGUGUGCUGCAUGGCACAAAAUGAAUCUGCAAAGCAUCUGGGAACUGCAGACCCUACUGAUGCCUGGAACUCACUGGAGUCAGCAUGUCCAGGCAGUCAUUGUAGCAAGUCAGAGUGGUGUGAUGAAAUGCUUCAGGAGAAAAACAUUUCACCACAGCCUGGUUCACUCAGAUACCUUGCCAGGGAACCAACAUCUCACUCGGGCCUCUGAUAUUGUAACUGUGGGCCUUUAAGAAACAACGGAAAACCCAACUGAAUAAAAACUGACCUCCUUUGUGGCUGCCCUGAUGGAAGGGGCUCAGGAGCAACAGCCUUCAUGGUGCCCACCCUCUGGGCCAGAACAACGGAUGCCCCACAACUGAGUUUAGUGCCUCCAAGAACCACAGCUUUUUUUUGCAGCAGUAAGAGCAUACCUCUGAGGCACUGUGAAGAAUCUGAUAGUCGAACUGAAUGAAGCCAAGUCCAGUCUUUACGGAAAAAUUUACACAACACUUCCAGAUGAUAUCUGCAUACCAGCUGGGGAUAGAAUGUAAUCCGUCCUGCAGAAGUUAAACCAUGUGUCAUGUGAAGAGCAGGAGAUGAUUUCAGAGUUCGUGAUAUUUGUGCUAGAGCCAGUCAUUGGAGUCAGUUCAAGUUUGGAGAAAAUUUUCUUCCAAAUUAACAAGAGAGAAGGAAGAAGGAGAGAAGAAGAAAGAGGAAGGAAGAAAGGAA
Molecule: long non-coding RNA, 823 nt
Filed under: Homo sapiens (human)
Lineage: Eukaryota; Metazoa; Chordata; Mammalia; Primates; Hominidae
Description: HSALNT0337079
Source: RNAcentral